RNAcentral lists this ribosomal RNA (497 nucleotides) under uncultured bacterium. RNAcentral's name for it is "partial 16S ribosomal RNA". It matches the Rfam family "Bacterial small subunit ribosomal RNA", at positions 28 to 507 of the family's 1533-position model. The record is from RNAcentral.
GAUGAACGCUGGCGGCGUGCCUAAUACAUGCAAGUCGAGCGAACGGACGAGAAGCUUGCUUUUCUGAUGUUAGCGGCGGACGGGUGAGUAACACGUGGAUAACCUACCUAUAAGACUGGGAUAACUUCGGGAAACCGGAGCUAAUACCGGAUAAUAUUUUGAACCGCAUGGUUCAAAAGUGAAAGACGGUCUUGCUGUCACUUAUAGAUGGAUCCGCGCUGCAUUAGCUAGUUGGUAAGGUAACGGCUUACCAAGGCGACGAUGCAUAGCCGACCUGAGAGGGUGAUCGGCCACACUGGAACGGAGACACGGUCCAGACUCCUACGGGAGGCAGCAGUAGGGAAUCUGACGCAAUGGGCGAAAGCCUGACGGAGCAACGCCGCGUGAGUGAUGAAGGUCUUCGGAUCGUAAAACUCUGUUAUUAGGGAAGAACAUAUGUGGAAGUAACUGUGCACAGCUUGACGGUACCUAAUCAGAAAGCCACGGCUAACUACGUG